GAAAUGCGAUAAUUAAUGUGAAUUGCAGAAUUCAGUGAAUCAUCGAGUCUUUGAACGCACAUUGCGCCCCCUGGUAUUCCGGGGGGCAUGCCUGUCCGAGCGUCAUUGCUGCCCUCAAGCACGGCUUGUGUGUUGGGCUUCCGUCCCUGGCAACGGGGACGGGCCCAAAAGGCAGUGGCGGCACCAUGUCUGGUCCUCGAGCGUAUGGGGCUUUGUCACCCGCUCCCGUAGGUCCAGCUGGCAGCUAGCCUCGCAACCAAUCUUUUUAACCAGGUUGACCUUGGAUCAGGUAGGGAUACCCGCUGAACUUAAGC
This 314-nucleotide unclassified non-coding RNA is filed under the name plant metagenome. Its description in RNAcentral is "partial contains 5.8S ribosomal RNA, internal transcribed spacer 2, and large subunit ribosomal RNA". The stretch from base 1 to 105 matches the Rfam family "5.8S ribosomal RNA", at positions 50 to 154 of the family's 154-position model. The record is from RNAcentral.